Molecule: ribosomal RNA, 1269 nt
Filed under: Citrobacter freundii
Lineage: Bacteria; Pseudomonadati; Pseudomonadota; Gammaproteobacteria; Enterobacterales; Enterobacteriaceae
Description: partial 23S ribosomal RNA
Rfam family: Bacterial large subunit ribosomal RNA
Source: RNAcentral
ACGCUGAGGUGUGAUGACGAGGCACUACGGUGCUGAAGUAACAAAUGCCCUGCUUCCAGGAAAAGCCUCUAAGCAUCAGGUAACACGAAAUCGUACCCCAAACCGACACAGGUGGUCAGGUAGAGAAUACCAAGGCGCUUGAGAGAACUCGGGUGAAGGAACUAGGCAAAAUGGUGCCGUAACUUCGGGAGAAGGCACGCUGAUAUGUAGGUGAAGUGAUUUACUCAUGGAGCUGAAAUCAGUCGAAGAUACCAGCUGGCUGCAACUGUUUAUUAAAAACACAGCACUGUGCAAACACGAAAGUGGACGUAUACGGUGUGACGCCUGCCCGGUGCCGGAAGGUUAAUUGAUGGGGUUAUCCGUAAGGAGAAGCUCUUGAUCGAAGCCCCGGUAAACGGCGGCCGUAACUAUAACGGUCCUAAGGUAGCGAAAUUCCUUGUCGGGUAAGUUCCGACCUGCACGAAUGGCGUAAUGAUGGCCAGGCUGUCUCCACCCGAGACUCAGUGAAAUUGAACUCGCUGUGAAGAUGCAGUGUACCCGCGGCAAGACGGAAAGACCCCGUGAACCUUUACUAUAGCUUGACACUGAACACUGGUCCUUGAUGUGUAGGAUAGGUGGGAGGCUUUGAAGUGUGGACGCCAGUCUGCAUGGAGCCAUCCUUGAAAUACCACCCUUUAAUGGCUGGUGUUCUAACGUGGACCCGUAAUCCGGGUUGCGGACAGUGUCUGGUGGGUAGUUUGACUGGGGCGGUCUCCUCCUAAAGAGUAACGGAGGAGCACGAAGGUUAGCUAAUCCUGGUCGGACAUCAGGAGGUUAGUGCAAAGGCAUAAGCUAGCUUGACUGCGAGAGUGACGGCUCGAGCAGGUGCGAAAGCAGGUCUUAGUGAUCCGGUGGUUCUGAAUGGAAGGGCCAUCGCUCAACGGAUAAAAGGUACUCCGGGGAUAACAGGCUGAUACCGCCCAAGAGUUCAUAUCGACGGCGGUGUUUGGCACCUCGAUGUCGGCUCAUCACAUCCUGGGGCUGAAGUAGGUCCCAAGGGUAUGGCUGUUCGCCAUUUAAAGUGGUACGCGAGCUGGGUUUAGAACGUCGUGAGACAGUUCGGUCCCUAUCUGCCGUGGGCGCUGGAGAAUUGAGGGGGGCUGCUCCUAGUACGAGAGGACCGGAGUGGACGCAUCACUGGUGUUCGGGUUGUCAUGCCAAUGGCAUUGCCCGGUAGCUAAAUGCGGAAGAGAUAAGUGCUGAAAGCAUCUAAGCACGAAACUUGCCCCG